Molecule: ribosomal RNA, 253 nt
Filed under: uncultured bacterium
Lineage: Bacteria
Description: partial 16S ribosomal RNA
Rfam family: Bacterial small subunit ribosomal RNA
Source: RNAcentral
GACAGAGGCCUCGAGCGUUAGGCGGAAUCACUGGGCUUAAAGCGUGUGUAGGCGGGCCCGUAAGUGUCUUGUGAAAUCCCACGGCUCAACCGUGGAACUGCUGGGCAUACUGCGGGUCUUGGGCCAACUAGGGGCAGCCGGAACAAGCGGUGGAGCGGUGAAAUGCGUAGAUAUCAUUUGGAACGCCAAUGGUGAAAACAGGUAGCUGGGGCUGUACUGACACUGAGACACGAAAGCCAGGGGAGCAAACGGG